GUGCUUGCUUUGGCAGCACAUACACUAAAAUUGGAACUGUACAGAGAAGAUAAGCAUGGCUUCUGCACAAGGAUGACACACAAAUUUGGAAGGUAUUAGUUAAAAAA
Erinaceus europaeus (western European hedgehog) is the source of this 107-nucleotide small nuclear RNA. NCBI's taxonomy places the organism in Eukaryota, Metazoa, Chordata, Mammalia, Eulipotyphla, Erinaceidae. The record is from Ensembl.